Molecule: transfer RNA, 74 nt
Filed under: Candidatus Tectimicrobiota bacterium
Lineage: Bacteria; Pseudomonadati; Candidatus Tectimicrobiota
Description: tRNA-Gln
Rfam family: tRNA
About the family: Transfer RNA (tRNA) molecules are approximately 80 nucleotides in length. Their secondary structure includes four short double-helical elements and three loops (D, anti-codon, and T loops).
Source: RNAcentral
UGGGGAGUCGUACAACGGCAGUACUCCAGACUCUGGAUCUGGCUAUCUAGGUUCGAAUCCUAGCUCCCCAGCCA